UACGAGGGGGGCGAGCGUUGUUCGGAAUUAUUGGGCGUAAAGGGCGCGUAGGCGGUGCGGUAAGUCACCUGUGAAACCCCGGGCUCAACUCGGGGCCUGCAGGCGAAACUGCCGUGCUGGAGUGCGGAAGAGGUGAGUGGAAUUCCCGGUGUAGCGGUGAAAUGCGUAGAUAGUCGGGAGGAACACCUGUGGCGAAAGCGGCUCACUGGACCGCAACUGACGCUGAGGC
This 229-nucleotide ribosomal RNA is filed under the name uncultured bacterium. Its description in RNAcentral is "partial 16S ribosomal RNA". It matches the Rfam family "Bacterial small subunit ribosomal RNA", at positions 524 to 752 of the family's 1533-position model. The record is from RNAcentral.